Molecule: ribosomal RNA, 527 nt
Filed under: Meyerozyma guilliermondii
Lineage: Eukaryota; Fungi; Ascomycota; Pichiomycetes; Serinales; Debaryomycetaceae
Description: eukaryotic LSU rRNA
Rfam family: Eukaryotic large subunit ribosomal RNA
Source: RNAcentral
UAUCACUAAGCUGGAGCAUCUGGCCCCUUCCUUGUCCGAGUUGUAACUUGAAGAUUGUAACCUUGGGGUUGGCUCUUGUCUAUGUUUCUUGGAACAGGACGUCACAGAGGGUGAGAAUCCCGUGCGAUGAGAUGCCCAAUUCUAUGUAAGGUGCUUUCGAAGAGUCGAGUUGUUUGGGAAUGCAGCUCUAAGUGGGUGGUAAAUUCCAUCUAAAGCUAAAUAUUGGCGAGAGACCGAUAGCGAACAAGUACAGUGAUGGAAAGAUGAAAAGAACUUUGAAAAGAGAGUGAAAAAGUACGUGAAAUUGUUGAAAGGGAAGGGUUUGAGAUCAGACUCGAUAUUUUGUGAGCCUUGCCUUCGUGGCGGGGUGACCCGCAGCUUAUCGGGCCAGCAUCGGUUUGGGCGGUAGGAUAAUGGCGUAGGAAUGUGACUUUACUUCGGUGAAGUGUUAUAGCCUGCGUUGAUGCUGCCUGCCUAGACCGAGGACUGCGAUUUUAUCAAGGAUGCUGGCAUAAUGAUCCCAAACC